RNAcentral lists this ribosomal RNA (1126 nucleotides) under Klebsiella grimontii. RNAcentral describes it as "bacterial SSU rRNA". It matches the Rfam family "Bacterial small subunit ribosomal RNA", at positions 38 to 1133 of the family's 1533-position model. The record is from RNAcentral. Lineage: Bacteria; Pseudomonadati; Pseudomonadota; Gammaproteobacteria; Enterobacterales; Enterobacteriaceae.
AGUGGGUCGGCUACACAUGCAGUCGACGGUAGCACAGAGAGCUUGCUCUCGGGUGACGAGUGGCGGACGGGAGAGUAAUGUCUGGGAAACUGCCUGAUGGAGGGGGAUAACUACUGGAAACGGUAGCUAAUACCGCAUAACGUCGCAAGACCAAAGAGGGGGACCUUCGGGCCUCUUGCCAUCAGAUGUGCCCAGAUGGGAUUAGCUAGUAGGUGGGGUAACGGCUCACCUAGGCGACGAUCCCUAGCUGGUCUGAGAGGAUGACCAGCCACACUGGAACUGAGACACGGUCCAGACUCCUACGGGAGGCAGCCGUGGGGAAUAUUGCACAUUGGGCGCAAGCCUGAUGCAGCCAUGCCGCGUGUAUGAAGAAGGCCUUCGGGUUGUAAAGUACUUUCAGCGGGGAGGAAGGGGAUAAGGUUAAUAACCUUAUUCAUUGACGUUACCCGCAGGAGAAGCACCGGCUAACUCCGUGCCAGCAGCCGCGGUAAUACGGAGGGUGCAAGCGUUAAUCGGAAUUACUGGGCGUAAAGCGCACGCAGGCGGUCUGUCAAGUCGGAUGUGAAAUCCCCGGGCUCAACCUGGGAACUGCAUUCGAAACUGGCAGGCUGGAGUCUUGUAGAGGGGGGUAAAUUCCAGGUGUAGCGGUGAAAUGCGUAGAGAUCUGGAGGAAUACCGGUGGCGAACGCGGCCCCUGGACAAACACUGACUCUCGGGUGCGAGAGCGUGGGGAGCAAACGGGAUUAAUCCCCUGGUAGUCCACCCUGAAAUUAUGUCACUUGAGGGUUGUUCCCUUGAGGGAGUGGCUUCCCGGACUAACGCUUUAAGUCGACCGCCUGGGGGAGUACGGCCCGCAGGUUAAAACUCAAAUGAAUUUGACGGGGGCCCGCACAAGCGGUGGGAGCUUGUGGUUUAAUUCGAUUGCAACGCGAAAGAACCCUUACCCUACUUUUGACAUCCGGAGAAACUUAACAAAAAAUGCCUUUUGGGGGCCCUUUCCGGAAGCUUUAAAAAGAGCCUGCAAGGAUGAUCUCAGCCUCCGUCUUCGUGCAAAUGUUUGAGGUUAAAGUUACCCGCCAACGGAGCGCCACCCAUUUAUCCCUUGUUGGCCAGCGGACGCAACCCG